GUUAAGCGACUAAGCGUACACGGUGGAUGCCCUGGCAGUCAGAGGCGAUGAAGGGCGUGCUAAUCUGCGAUAAGCGCCGGUAAGGUGAUAUGAACCGUUAUAACCGGCGAUACCCGAAUGGGGAAACCCAGUGUGAUUCGUCACACUAUCAUUAACUGAAUCCAUAGGUUAAUGAGGCGAACCGGGGGAACUGAAACAUCUAAGUACCCCGAGGAAAAGAAAUCAACCGAGAUUCCCCCAGUAGCGGCGAGCGAACGGGGAGGAGCCCAGAGCCUGAAUCAGCAUGUGUGUUAGUGGAAGCGUCUGGAAAGGCGCGCGAUACAGGGUGACAGCCCCGUACACAAAAGCGCAUGUGCUGUGAGCUCGAUGAGUAGGGCGGGACACGUGGUAUCCUGUCUGAAUAUGGGGGGACCAUCCUCCAA
Molecule: ribosomal RNA, 422 nt
Filed under: Salmonella enterica subsp. enterica serovar Durham
Lineage: Bacteria; Pseudomonadati; Pseudomonadota; Gammaproteobacteria; Enterobacterales; Enterobacteriaceae
Description: partial 23S ribosomal RNA
Rfam family: Bacterial large subunit ribosomal RNA
Source: RNAcentral